AAUACUCCAUUUCCCCUGGUCUAACAUGGGAUCCUGUUUGGGAGACAUAUACUAAACUCAACUCAUUUUUUAAUAAUGCCUACAAAAAAUAUGUCCAUAUUCUUGGCCUGCCGUUCUAUCAGCCGCAAUCAAAAUUUUCUUACCACGCAUAUUGAAAAUAUGAAAAUUUAUACUAGUAUUUUCUUUUGAAGCAUGUAUCAAUUGAAUAUGAAAUCAAUGUAAUUAAACAAAAAAAAAAAAAAAAAAGAAGUUAAUUGACUACUAUACGUUUGUUGGGCUUGAAGUUGCAACUGCCUAGUUAGUUUAGAAUUUUAGUAUUAAGGAUUAAUUAUAGUUUAUAGUCAUAAUUUUUAACAAAUUUAAGUUUAUAGCUUCAAUUUUGAUUUAUUUUUUAAUAUACAAUGAACUUUGAAGACUCGUUUAAUUACAC
Molecule: long non-coding RNA, 430 nt
Filed under: Salvia miltiorrhiza (redroot sage)
Lineage: Eukaryota; Viridiplantae; Streptophyta; Magnoliopsida; Lamiales; Lamiaceae
Description: long non-coding RNA (SMIL_LNC012653)
Source: RNAcentral